This 2280-nucleotide ribosomal RNA is filed under the name Escherichia coli. RNAcentral's name for it is "partial 23S ribosomal RNA". It matches the Rfam family "Bacterial large subunit ribosomal RNA", at positions 407 to 2672 of the family's 2925-position model. Lineage: Bacteria; Pseudomonadati; Pseudomonadota; Gammaproteobacteria; Enterobacterales; Enterobacteriaceae. The record is from RNAcentral.
GAUGAGUAGGGCGGGACACGUGGUAUCCUGUCUGAAUAUGGGGGGACCAUCCUCCAAGGCUAAAUACUCCUGACUGACCGAUAGUGAACCAGUACCGUGAGGGAAAGGCGAAAAGAACCCCGGCGAGGGGAGUGAAAAAGAACCUGAAACCGUGUACGUACAAGCAGUGGGAGCACGCUUAGGCGUGUGACUGCGUACCUUUUGUAUAAUGGGUCAGCGACUUAUAUUCUGUAGCAAGGUUAACCGAAUAGGGGAGCCGAAGGGAAACCGAGUCUUAACUGGGCGUUAAGUUGCAGGGUAUAGACCCGAAACCCGGUGAUCUAGCCAUGGGCAGGUUGAAGGUUGGGUAACACUAACUGGAGGACCGAACCGACUAAUGUUGAAAAAUUAGCGGAUGACUUGUGGCUGGGGGUGAAAGGCCAAUCAAACCGGGAGAUAGCUGGUUCUCCCCGAAAGCUAUUUAGGUAGCGCCUCGUGAAUUCAUCUCCGGGGGUAGAGCACUGUUUCGGCAAGGGGGUCAUCCCGACUUACCAACCCGAUGCAAACUGCGAAUACCGGAGAAUGUUAUCACGGGAGACACACGGCGGGUGCUAACGUCCGUCGUGAAGAGGGAAACAACCCAGACCGCCAGCUAAGGUCCCAAAGUCAUGGUUAAGUGGGAAACGAUGUGGGAAGGCCCAGACAGCCAGGAUGUUGGCUUAGAAGCAGCCAUCAUUUAAAGAAAGCGUAAUAGCUCACUGGUCGAGUCGGCCUGCGCGGAAGAUGUAACGGGGCUAAACCAUGCACCGAAGCUGCGGCAGCGACGCUGAUGCGUUGUUGGGUAGGGGAGCGUUCUGUAAGCCUGUGAAGGUGUGCUGUGAGGCAUGCUGGAGGUAUCAGAAGUGCGAAUGCUGACAUAAGUAACGAUAAAGCGGGUGAAAAGCCCGCUCGCCGGAAGACCAAGGGUUCCUGUCCAACGUUAAUCGGGGCAGGGUGAGUCGACCCCUAAGGCGAGGCCGAAAGGCGUAGUCGAUGGGAAACAGGUUAAUAUUCCUGUACUUGGUGUUACUGCGAAGGGGGGACGGAGAAGGCUAUGUUGGCCGGGCGACGGUUGUCCCGGUUUAAGCGUGUAGGCUGGUUUUCCAGGCAAAUCCGGAAAAUCAAGGCUGAGGCGUGAUGACGAGGCACUACGGUGCUGAAGCAACAAAUGCCCUGCUUCCAGGAAAAGCCUCUAAGCAUCAGGUAACAUCAAAUCGUACCCCAAACCGACACAGGUGGUCAGGUAGAGAAUACCAAGGCGCUUGAGAGAACUCGGGUGAAGGAACUAGGCAAAAUGGUGCCGUAACUUCGGGAGAAGGCACGCUGAUAUGUAGGUGAAGCGACUUGCUCGUGGAGCUGAAAUCAGUCGAAGAUACCAGCUGGCUGCAACUGUUUAUUAAAAACACAGCACUGUGCAAACACGAAAGUGGACGUAUACGGUGUGACGCCUGCCCGGUGCCGGAAGGUUAAUUGAUGGGGUCAGCGCAAGCGAAGCUCUUGAUCGAAGCCCCGGUAAACGGCGGCCGUAACUAUAACGGUCCUAAGGUAGCGAAAUUCCUUGUCGGGUAAGUUCCGACCUGCACGAAUGGCGUAAUGAUGGCCAGGCUGUCUCCACCCGAGACUCAGUGAAAUUGAACUCGCUGUGAAGAUGCAGUGUACCCGCGGCAAGACGGAAAGACCCCGUGAACCUUUACUAUAGCUUGACACUGAACAUUGAGCCUUGAUGUGUAGGAUAGGUGGGAGGCUUUGAAGUGUGGACGCCAGUCUGCAUGGAGCCGGCCUUGAAAUACCACCCUUUAAUGUUUGAUGUUCUAACGUUGACCCGUGAUCCGGGUUGCGGACAGUGUCUGGUGGGUAGUUUGACUGGGGCGGUCUCCUCCUAAAGAGUAACGGAGGAGCACGAAGGUUGGCUAAUCCUGGUCGGACAUCAGGAGGUUAGUGCAAUGGCAUAAGCCAGCUUGACUGCGAGCGUGACGGCGCGAGCAGGUGCGAAAGCAGGUCAUAGUGAUCCGGUGGUUCUGAAUGGAAGGGCCAUCGCUCAACGGAUAAAAGGUACUCCGGGGAUAACAGGCUGAUACCGCCCAAGAGUUCAUAUCGACGGCGGUGUUUGGCACCUCGAUGUCGGCUCAUCACAUCCUGGGGCUGAAGUAGGUCCCAAGGGUAUGGCUGUUCGCCAUUUAAAGUGGUACGCGAGCUGGGUUUAGAACGUCGUGAGACAGUUCGGUCCCUAUCUGCCGUGGGCGCUGGAGAACUGAGGGGGGC